GAGUGAACGCUGGCGGUAGGCCUAACACAUGCAAGUCGAACGGCAGCACAGUAAGAGCUUGCUCUUACGGGUGGCGAGUGGCGGACGGGUGAGGAAUACAUCGGAAUCUACUUUUUCGUGGGGGCUAACGUAGGGAAACUUACGCUAAUACCGCAUACGACCUACGGGUGAAAGCAGGGGAUCUUCGGACCUUGCGCGAUUGAAUGAGCCGAUGUCGGAUUAGCUAGUUGGCGGGGUAAAGGCCCACCAAGGCGACGAUCCGUAGCUGGUCUGAGAGGAUGAUCAGCCACACUGGAACUGAGACACGGUCCAGACUCCUACGGGAGGCAGCAGUGGGGAAUAUUGGACAAUGGGCGCAAGCCUGAUCCAGCCAUACCGCGUGGGUGAAGAAGGCCUUCGGGUUGUAAAGCCCUUUUGUUGGGAAAGAAAAGCAGCAGGUUAAUACCCCGCUGUUCUGACGGUACCCAAAGAAUAAGCACCGGCUAACUUCGUG
RNAcentral lists this ribosomal RNA (493 nucleotides) under uncultured bacterium. RNAcentral's name for it is "partial 16S ribosomal RNA". It matches the Rfam family "Bacterial small subunit ribosomal RNA", at positions 27 to 507 of the family's 1533-position model. The record is from RNAcentral.